Molecule: ribosomal RNA, 253 nt
Filed under: uncultured bacterium
Lineage: Bacteria
Description: partial 16S ribosomal RNA
Rfam family: Bacterial small subunit ribosomal RNA
Source: RNAcentral
UACGGGGGGGGCGAGCGUUGUUCGGAAUUUCUGGGCGUAAAGGGUUUGUAGGUGGCCUGCUAAGUCAGACGUGAAAUCCCUCAGCUUAACUGGGGAACUGCGUCUGAUACUGGCGGGCUUGAGGACAGGAGAGGAACGCGGAAUUCCAGGUGUAGCGGUGAAAUGCGUAGAUAUCUGGAGGAACACCGGUGGCGAAGGCGGCGUUCUGGACUGUUUCUGACACUGAAAAACGAAAGCCAGGGGAGCAAACGGG